RNAcentral lists this ribosomal RNA (541 nucleotides) under Caridina elongapoda. Its description in RNAcentral is "partial 16S ribosomal RNA". It matches the Rfam family "Bacterial large subunit ribosomal RNA", at positions 1822 to 2623 of the family's 2925-position model. Lineage: Eukaryota; Metazoa; Arthropoda; Malacostraca; Decapoda; Atyidae. The record is from RNAcentral.
UGCGCGGGGAAUUUGAUGUGCAGUCUGGCCUGCCCCCUGAAAUCUUUAAAGGGCCGCGGUAUUUGGACCGUGCUAAGGUAGCAUAAUAAAUAGUCUUUUAAUUGAAGUCUAGUAUGAAUGGUCGGACAUGAAGUAAGCUGUUUCAACUUUGACGCUUGAAUUUUACCUUUAAGUGAAAAGGCUUAAAUUGAAUGGUGGGACGAUAAGACCCUAUAAAGCUUUACAUUUUAUUUCUCAGUUGCGGGGUUUAUGGUUCCCUAUUCUUAUGGAGUAAAGUGUUUCGUUGGGGCGACGGAAAUAUAAAAAUAAGUAACUGUUUUUGCUUGAAAAAUACGUCUUUGUAGAUGACUUGAUCCUUCUUUGAAGAUUAAAAGAUUUAAGUUACUUUAGGGAUAACAGCGUAAUUUAUCUUGAGAGUUCAUAUCGACAGAUAUAGUUGCGACCUCGAUGUUGAAUUAAAGUAUCCUCCAGGUGUAGCAGUUUUGGUGGUGGGUCUGUUCGACCUUUAAAACUUUACAUGAUUUGAGUUCAGACCGGCGUA